AAGUUUUUCGUAGUAAUUUUUUGACUGAUUGGCCUAAAUUUCUGUUUUUUACAUCUUUGAAAUGUCUGCUGUUCAUCUAUAAUGAAAUUUAUUUGAUAAAUAUUAUAUAAAGCUGCAGUUAUUUGGUUUUAAAUAGAUGUGUAAAAACGGCGAAUAUGUGUCCCCCAUUGACAAAACAUCAGGAAAUUUCAAACACCCUUUAAUCUAACUUUACAGGUGACUAUUUUCUAAACAACAUGUUUUCAAGCUUAGGAAUGUUUUGCAUUUAAAGUUAUCUUCAUAUAGAAAUAUCAGUAUACUUCAAAAACAUAUAGACCUGAACAUAAACUGC
This 331-nucleotide long non-coding RNA is filed under the name Mytilus galloprovincialis (Mediterranean mussel). The record is from RNAcentral. Lineage: Eukaryota; Metazoa; Mollusca; Bivalvia; Mytilida; Mytilidae.